RNAcentral lists this ribosomal RNA (1002 nucleotides) under uncultured bacterium. Its description in RNAcentral is "bacterial SSU rRNA". It matches the Rfam family "Bacterial small subunit ribosomal RNA", at positions 27 to 1024 of the family's 1533-position model. The record is from RNAcentral.
GGAUGAACGCUAGCGGCAGGCCUAACACAUGCAAGUCGAACGGCAGCACAGAGUAGCAAUACUUGGGUGGCGAGUGGCGCACGGGUGCGGAACACGUACGCAACAUACCCUUUACAGGGGGAUAGCCCGGAGAAAUCCGGAUUAACACCCCAUAGUGUAGCUGGGAGGCAUCUCCCUACUACUAAAAAUUUAUUGGUAAAGGAUUGGCGUGCGUCCCAUUAGAUAGUUGGCGGGGUAACGGCCCACCAAGUCAGCGAUGGGUAGCUGGUGUGAGAGCACGACCAGCCACACGGGCACUGAGACACGGGCCCGACUCCUACGGGAGGCAGCAGUGAGGAAUAUUGGUCAAUGGACGCAAGUCUGAACCAGCCAUGCCGCGUGGAGGAUGACAGCCUUCUGGGUUGUAAACUUCUUUUAUAUGGGAAGAAAAGUACGGUUUCUACUGUAUCCGACGGUACCAUAUGAAUAAGCACCGGCUAACUCCGUGCCAGCAGCCGCGGUAAUACGGAGGGUGCAAGCGUUAUCCGGAUUUACUGGGUUUAAAGGGUGUGUAGGCGGACAUUUAAGUCAGAGGUGAAAUCUCCGGGCUCAACCCGGAAACUGCCUUUGAUACUAUUUGUCUUGAAUUUCGUUGAGGUUGGCGGAAUAUAUCAUGUAGCGGUGAAAUGCAUAGAUAUGAUAUAGAACACCGAUUGCGAAGGCAGCUGGCUGAACGACGAUUGACGCUGAGGCACGAAAGCGUGGGUAGCGAACAGGAUUAGAUACCCUGGUAGUCCACGCCCUAAACGAUGAUUACUCGACAUACGCGAUACACAGUGUGUGUCUGAGCGAAAGCAUUAAGUAAUCCACCUGGGAAGUACGUCCGCAAGGAUGAAACUCAAAGGAAUUGACGGGGGUCCGCACAAGCGGUGGAGUAUGUGGUUUAAUUCGAUGAUACGCGAGGAACCUUACCUGGGCUAGAAUGCUAUUUGACCGGUCCUGAAAGGGAAUUUUUGUAGCAAU